Molecule: long non-coding RNA, 207 nt
Filed under: Mytilus galloprovincialis (Mediterranean mussel)
Lineage: Eukaryota; Metazoa; Mollusca; Bivalvia; Mytilida; Mytilidae
Source: RNAcentral
GGUUUAUAGACAUAUCGUUUUUAUUCAUUGGGAAAGAAGACAAGAUGGCGGAUCUCGGAGAAUUGAUACUCUAAAUUUAAAAUCGAUGGUGAUCGCUUAUCUAGCGGAAUAAAACUUUAAUAUCUAUGAAUUUGAACAUUUUUAUACAGAAUGAACAUAAUAUCAAUUUUUGAUUUUUUUGCGAAGUUUCCCUUUAAUUGAACAGUA